UCCCGGCGAAUGGACCGCAAUGACUAAUCAAGUGAACUACAUGUAAUGAGAAGUGAGCUUCUUCCGAGGUGUUUUCGUUUCGGAUCACCACGUGAACCACGAAGAAGUUUUAUUGUGAAAUUCAUGAGAGAAGAAAGUGAGCUUCAGAACAUACAUAUCCAUUCAUUAUUUUGCUACAGCCACACUCACAUCCUUAAUCCUUUUUUCACACAUAGUGAUCAACAAAGCUAUACACAGUGAACUCCAUCCUAUGAAAAAAUAGUGUGUGAGCCGGGCGGGGCACCUAGCCGAACUGGACCAGACCAUGUCCGGUGGCAAACCACGUUUUUUUUUCAACCCCAGGAUGCAAUCCCAACAUCGCCAGAAUGUACUGCACGUGCGCUCACUGCCGGAGUGACAAAGCUUAGUGAACUUCAAAGAUGUUUAUACCAAACAUUUAUGCAAUGCACUGCAACACACAUCUAGAGAAUUGCAAACAAUAUUAAAAAAGAAAGGCUCUAUAGUCCACGGACUCACACGCGAAUUACACCGAGCACAAAGUUAACUGCAAGGAUACUCUUCAAAAGCAAAAAAACAAAACUACUGGGGGAAAACAACACUUGGUCAUGGGACGGAGGCAACCUGUGGUCAGGGGAAGCAUCAAUGAUACACCCGCGACGGCGUCAACAACCCUCCUUGCCGCACCGCCAUCAGCUGCUUUGCUCCCAUACCUAAGCGCCGCGACACAUGCAAGCGAGCUGCAAACAAAUUUUCAUGGGAUGAGGCCGGCGGACUGCAUCAACUGUCUUUUUCGCAAAAAAAGAGUAAAAUGAACCUCAAUAGAAAAACUAAAGUGGACCGUAUUUGCACUUUAAUUUGUCUUCAGUAGAACACAAAAAAACACAAAUCUCAUCGACGGGAAUAGCAAACUGCAGUGUAGUGAUUUUCCUCCGAAAAUCAAAAAAGUGAACUGCAACAACCUCAAACACUGGCGUGGUUGAAUGUUCGUCGGUGGGGAGAAGAAGUAGGGGAGUCCCGUGCACCGGCACCAGCACUGAACCGCAUCACGCAUGCCGCCGAGCUGCACGGCGACGGUCGCCGGACUGCAGAGGGGAGAGACAGCGUUGUUGAAACAAAUGAGUCCAAAAGAAGAGAUCGUGGGGUAGGAAUUGGAUCCGAGGCGGAGAUGCUCAUCGGAGGCCUCACCGGAGAUGAGAGAUGGAGGCUGCCUGGUUUCCUCCUCAGCCCCGGCGGAUAGGUGCGCGACGGGGCACCGGUGGUGGUGCAGAUCCGGGUGGUGAUGGCCUGAGACGAGGACGACGACGAUGUGGCCGGGCCAGGCUGCAUCCUCGCGUGGCCCGAUAGCCGACAAGGACGGUGACGCAGAGGCGCAGGAGGAAGGGAGGACGGAGNNN
Molecule: long non-coding RNA, 1394 nt
Filed under: Triticum aestivum (bread wheat)
Lineage: Eukaryota; Viridiplantae; Streptophyta; Magnoliopsida; Poales; Poaceae
Description: long non-coding RNA (TAES_LNC025564)
Source: RNAcentral